Molecule: ribosomal RNA, 253 nt
Filed under: uncultured bacterium
Lineage: Bacteria
Description: partial 16S ribosomal RNA
Rfam family: Bacterial small subunit ribosomal RNA
Source: RNAcentral
UCCGCAGGGGGCAAUCGUUGUCCGGAUUUAUUGGGUUUAAAGGGCGCGUAGGUGGCUUUUUAAGUCAUGGGUGAAAGCCCGCAGCUCAACUGUGGAAUUGCCUGUGAUACUGAGGAGCUUGAGUGCGGUUGAGGCAGCUGGAAUUGGUGGUGUAGCGGUGAAAUGCAUAGAUACCACCAGGAACACCGAUUGCGAAGGCAGGUUGCUAAGCCGUAACUGACACUGAGGCACGAAAGCGUGGGGAGAAAACAGG